CCCAUGUUUUUUUUAUGGUGUAAUUUUGCUUAAAAUUUUUAAUAAUGCCCUGGAUGAAACCGGUAAAGUGACUAUAAGAGUUAGUCAUAGAAAAGUACUGCUACCUAAUUUAACUUUUUGAUGCAGGUAUCUAAACAAUAAUUACUUCACUGGAGGGCUCCCAAACAAGCUUGCAAAUCUAACAAAUCUGGAGAUCUUGUUAGUAAUUGAUCCCAUCUUUUGAUACAAAUUACAUUUCUCCUUAUUUUAUCCUUGUAAGUUUAGGUAUUUAUCUUACAACAAAAUGAUUGGGACAAUACCCUCUGCACUUGCCAGUCUACCAAGACUAACUUACUUGUAAGCUUCCUAAUGUGACUAACAAUUUAUCUGAAAGAGCUAUGUACUGUCGUAGAGCAUGUUUCGACUUAACUUUCAGGCACUUGGACCACAAUCAAUUCAGUGGAAGCAUCCCUGAUGAUUUCUACAAGCACCCCAUCCUAAAAGAUAUAUAAGUAGAAGGGAACGCGUUCAAAACGGAUGUGAAGGCGAUUGGCACACAUAAGGUCCUAGAACUACCUGAAGCAGACUUCUUUUUUUUUUUUUUUAGGUUGGCAUAUUUCAAUUACAGAUAGGAACUUCACCUGUAUUAUUAUCUGGUUCUUAAAGAUUCAUUUUCUUUGUCAAAGCGAGGAUGAACUUGAUUUGUCUGUGCAUGUAAAUAAAAAGGGAUCUGUUUUGUUCUUUUCUCUGUCUUUUUGAGAAAGCAAAGAACCAAAAAGACAAAAAGAAAAAAAAAAGUGUUCUUUGCUUAACCUACACAACUUUGUGAUCUUAAUCUGUUUCUUUGCAUGCAAAGUAACAACAAUCUCGGAUAUUUGUAGCUACAUUGUUUAUCAAAAGAGAUUUAUACACCAUCUAAAUUAAUCAAUGAACACAGCACACAUGACAUGAUAUUCAUUAAACGUUAUUUAAUACAUUACUUGGAGAAAACGUUUCCCAUCGAUGUCAUAACCAAACGAAAUAUGUUACGAAGACCAAGCGUAUAUCUUAAUCUUUUAAUAUUUUGGUUUUUUAUCAAAAGAUAUUUAUACACCAUGUAAAUUAAUCAAUGAACAACAUUCCUUGCUCACGUGACAUGAUAUUCUUUAAACGUUACAAAAACCACUCCCCAAAGGGAUAUUAAAUGAAUGAAAUUGGGAUAUGUAUGGUGGUAUACUAGCCAUUAUGGUUAUUGUAAUAUAUGAAGACAUUAAAUGCAUUACUUGGAGAAAAAGUUUCCAAUCGAUAUGUCAUAACCAAACGAAAUAAGUUAAGAAGACCAAGUGUAAGUGGGAAAAGAUCGUCGAAUAUUUUUGUUGGUGGAGAAACAUUCCAAAUCAUUUUAAAAUUAAAGUUUGCAAUCUUUGAAUAUUUUGUUUGUUUAUUUAAAGAUCUAUAGUAGGAAUAAGAAUCCAAGAUCUACUACAUUUUAAAACUUGCUGCGAUGAGAGGUGUUGUUAUCGGAAGAAAAAACGGCUUAACACUAAUAAAAUCCUUAGUCAAUCAGUUGUCUUACUUUUCCUCCUCCUCAGGCGCUGGGAAACCUUUGAUCCAAGAAGCAAAUAAGAGAGAAGAGGUAACAUGGGAUAUGAUGUAUGUAUAUACUAUCGACCAGAAGAAGGAACUUGCAAGAAUUACUAAUAAACUCUCCAAAAGUGAGGCUGCCUUAGUGACUAGGGCAUAUACAAAAUAUGUCUAUCUUAAUCUUCAGGUCCACUCUGCUCUCUCUCUCUCUCUCUCUCUUUGUUUUCAUCUUUCUUCUUACAAUGAUGAAAAGAUGUUUUUUUUUUCUUUCUGACAAUGCAGGAGGAGGAAGAAGAAGAAGAAGAAGAAGAAGACGGUCAGAUGCAACAAGACUCAAGGGAACACAAGGAGGAACUUGCAAGAAUUGCUAAAACAGUCCCGGAAAGUGCGCCUGAUGCAGCCAAGGAAUAUGCAGAAUAUGUAGCUCGUUUUCUUCAGGUAAUUCACACUACUACUCUUGUCUUAAUUUGUGUGUUUGAUCUUUUCUUAAAAAUUAAAGAGAUAGCGAACUCUAUGAGGUUUAUUCUUCUUCUUCUGAAACUUGUGCAAUGCAGAUUACUGAUGAUAUAUGGAAUUUUGAGGAGAAAAUCCUCAUGAUGCAGGAGAUAGUCGAGAUGUUGUCACAGGGCUACAAAUAGCAAAUGAUUCUUGUAUUCUAAUAACCAAGUUUGUUGUUAUUUUUUCUUGAAAAAACUCUUUAGGUUUGGUUAAAUUAUGGUCAUUUUAGCU
This is a long non-coding RNA of Brassica rapa (field mustard), 2271 nucleotides long. RefSeq lists it as uncharacterized. The record is from RefSeq and is a predicted model, not a curated record. NCBI's taxonomy places the organism in Eukaryota, Viridiplantae, Streptophyta, Magnoliopsida, Brassicales, Brassicaceae.